This 497-nucleotide ribosomal RNA is filed under the name uncultured bacterium. RNAcentral describes it as "partial 16S ribosomal RNA". It matches the Rfam family "Bacterial small subunit ribosomal RNA", at positions 28 to 507 of the family's 1533-position model. The record is from RNAcentral.
GAUGAACGCUGGCGGCGUGCCUAAUACAUGCAAGUCGAGCGAACAGACGAGGAGCUUGCUCCUCUGACGUUAGCGGCGGACGGGUGAGUAACACGUGGAUAACCUACCUAUAAGACUGGGAUAACUUCGGGAAACCGGAGCUAAUACCGGAUAAUAUAUUGAACCGCAUGGUUCAAUAGUGAAAGACGGUUUUGCUGUCACUUAUAGAUGGAUCCGUGCCGCAUUAGCUAGUUGGUAAGGUAAUGGCUUACCAAGGCAACGAUGCGUAGCCGACCUGAGAGGGUGAUCGGCCACACUGGAACUGAGACACGGUCCAGACUCCUACGGGAGGCAGCAGUAGGGAAUCUUCCGCAAUGGGCGAAAGCCUGACGGAGCAACGCCGCGUGAGUGAUGAAGGUCUUCGGAUCGUAAAACUCUGUUAUUAGGGAAGAACAAAUGUGUAAGUAACUAUGCACGUCUUGACGGUACCUAAUCAGAAAGCCACGGCUAACUACGUG